This is a long non-coding RNA of Oncorhynchus tshawytscha (Chinook salmon), 834 nucleotides long. Lineage: Eukaryota; Metazoa; Chordata; Actinopteri; Salmoniformes; Salmonidae. The record is from Ensembl.
AUUUAACUGGGACUCAAAGAAAGGCGGUCUUAAUCGUUUAUAUGAGUCAGUGGGCAGUCUCCAGCACUUGAAUGAAAGCUCCAGUUUACUGCUCAGCUGCUGUAUUGGGUGGAGUCCUGUGCGCUUAACGCUCCACUGGAACAGGAGACCUGCCACAUUACGCACGGAGAGUUCGCCAAGCACGCCUGUUCCGCGAGGAGACGGGAGGGAAGAGAACUUACAGAACAAAGCUAACGAUUUCAUGUUUUUGUUUACGAAAAGGAAGAGUUUGUUAAUCCAUCCCUUUUAUACAGAGUGGAGUUUUGGGACAUUUUUUAUAUUUUUCUCUGUAGCCUAUGAUUAUUUUAAGAUUAUUUGAAAAGACUGUGUUUGAGGAGAUUAAAAGAUUAUUCAGAGUGAGAGCAGACGCGUUCCAGGACUUUAUCUCCAAAGACUGCUCGGAAACCACUGACCCCUCAUGAGAUACCCACAAGUCACCUGGCAUUUGACCCGAUAACCAUGGACGUCCGAGUGCAGGCCAAUCCUAACCUCCAUUUCGGGGUCAACGGGGGUCAUGAUGGCGCUAAUAGAAACUCCCGCAGUAGACCAUUUGUGAGUAUAACUUGAAUGAAAACAUUUCAGUUAAUGUUUUUUUUUUCUUAGUAUCUCAAAUAUAAAAUUCGAAAUAUUUCUCCAUUUGUUCACAAUUUAUGCACCCAUGUUAGGGGGGUAUGGCAUUGAAGAAUUCACCUGUUCCUGGUUGAGAGCAGGUGCUUUUCAUUGUGUGACUUGCUGUGCUUUUCAAACCUGACUGUGCUGUUUAUACAGCGAAGUCUGUCUCCAUGCCCCCCUCUG